CGAUGUAAAGGGAUGUAGCGCAGCUUGGUAGCGCGUUUGUUUUGGGUACAAAAUGUCACAGGUUCAAAUCCUGUCAUCCCUAUCCCUAACUAGUAGUUAUCGUAUCAGCAGUAACAAUAGAUCAAUUGCGACCGAUUCAAAUUGAUACAUACUCAAUAUGGAGAACUAUUCAUAUUGAGUAUGUAUGCAUGCAAGAUCUAUUGCCAUCACAAAAAAUUAUUUAUGAAAAGAAAGCGCUCUUAGUUCAGUUCGGUAGAACGCGGGUCUCCAAAACCCGAUGUCGUAGGUUCAAAUCCUACAGAGCGUGA
RNAcentral lists this transfer RNA (308 nucleotides) under Medicago truncatula (barrel medic). RNAcentral describes it as "lncRNA gene21719". The stretch from base 9 to 82 matches the Rfam family "tRNA". The record is from RNAcentral. Lineage: Eukaryota; Viridiplantae; Streptophyta; Magnoliopsida; Fabales; Fabaceae.